GCCCUACCAAGGGCGAACGGGAACUGCGAAAGUGGCGAUGAAGAUUAGCCUAGGCCCGAUGAGAUCCCAGAGGCUGAGGAUGAAUUAUCUCCCGCGACGUGCUCGUUUUGUCGGUAGAAAUGAGGAAGUAAAUCAAUGGUAUCUACAAACAGUGGCCGAUCAAUGGAUGGUUUGCUGGCUUUUGGAUGGUGUGCUGGAAAAACUGGACAAUUUUAAGUAUGAAUUUAUCACAAAAUGUAAAGAAAAGAACUUUAGUCAAAGAAGACAAGGGUUUCAAAAUUCUGCAGAGAGACAAUGAAAAUGCAAAACUCAGCUACCUACUACAUAUACAGUGGAGUACAGGGUUAUAUACAGGGGUUAUUCAAAGGGACCAGACUUUCAGUUCAUAAUAGCAAGAAGAGAAAUUUAGAACCAGUGGGGUCAUGUUAUAAGUUAGAAAUUUGUUAAAACUAGUGGAGAUUGAGCAAGGCUUGAUAUUUUCAAGAUUCCUAAGGUAUAUUUUUCAAGAUAUUUUACUCACAUCAAAAUGUGUAGAAUAGUUUGGAUUUGAUAAAGUUUUUCUCUUACAAUAAUGGUCCUGUACCACCUGCUUGGUAACAUUUUUUAUACAUAAUCAGAAGAAAAUGUUUUACCUUCA
Molecule: non-coding RNA, 637 nt
Organism: Rhopilema esculentum
Lineage: Eukaryota; Metazoa; Cnidaria; Scyphozoa; Rhizostomeae; Rhizostomatidae
Source: RefSeq, a predicted model, not a curated record